RNAcentral lists this ribosomal RNA (200 nucleotides) under uncultured bacterium. RNAcentral's name for it is "partial 16S ribosomal RNA". It matches the Rfam family "Bacterial small subunit ribosomal RNA", at positions 30 to 230 of the family's 1533-position model. The record is from RNAcentral.
AUUGAACGCUGGCGGCAGGCCUAACACAUGCAAGUCGAGCAGAUGAAGAGAGCUUGCUCUCUGAUUCAGCGGCGGACGGGUGAGUAAUGCCUAGGAAUCUGCCUGGUAGUGGGGGACAACGUCUCGAAAGGGACGCUAAUACCGCAUACGUCCUACGGGAGAAAGCAGGGGACCUUCGGGCCUUGCGCUAUCAGAUGAGC